RNAcentral lists this ribosomal RNA (117 nucleotides) under Ipomoea nil (Japanese morning glory). Lineage: Eukaryota; Viridiplantae; Streptophyta; Magnoliopsida; Solanales; Convolvulaceae. The record is from RNAcentral.
GGAUGCCAUCAUACCAGCACUAUCAGCACUCCGAAGUCAAGCUCCGAAGUUAAGCGUGCUUGGGCGAGAGUAGUACUAGGAUGGGUGACCCCCUGGGAAGUCCUCGUGUUGCAUCCC